CUACAGGGGGCUCCAGUGGGGAAUAUUGCACAAUGGGCGCAAGCCUGAUGCAGCCAUGCCGCGUGUAUGAAGAAGGCCUUCGGGUUGUAAAGUACUUUCAGCGGGGAGGAAGGGAGUAAAGUUAAUACCUUUGCUCAUUGACGUUACCCGCAGAAGAAGCACCGGCUAACUCCGUGCCAGCAGCCGCGGUAAUACGGAGGGUGCAAGCGUUAAUCGGAAUUACUGGGCGUAAAGCGCACGCAGGCGGUUUGUUAAGUCAGAUGUGAAAUCCCCGGGCUCAACCUGGGAACUGCAUCUGAUACUGGCAAGCUUGAGUCUCGUAGAGGGGGGUAGAAUUCCAGGUGUAGCGGUGAAAUGCGUAGAGAUCUGGAGGAAUGCCGGUGGCGAAGGCGGCCCCCUGGACGAAGACUGACGCUCAGGUGCGAAAGCGUGGGGAGCAAACAGGAUUAGAUACCCUUGUAGUC
RNAcentral lists this ribosomal RNA (464 nucleotides) under uncultured bacterium. RNAcentral's name for it is "partial 16S ribosomal RNA". It matches the Rfam family "Bacterial small subunit ribosomal RNA", at positions 339 to 795 of the family's 1533-position model. The record is from RNAcentral.